GAUAGUUAGUGCGUAAACUUUUUC
RNAcentral lists this non-coding RNA (24 nucleotides) under Arabidopsis thaliana (thale cress). The record is from RNAcentral. Lineage: Eukaryota; Viridiplantae; Streptophyta; Magnoliopsida; Brassicales; Brassicaceae.